This is an RNA transcript of Haliotis rufescens (red abalone), 2107 nucleotides long. It is a transcript of the gene named serine/arginine-rich splicing factor 7-like, with no coding region annotated. The record is from RefSeq and is a predicted model, not a curated record. The transcript is spliced from 5 exons. NCBI's taxonomy places the organism in Eukaryota, Metazoa, Mollusca, Gastropoda, Lepetellida, Haliotidae.
GUUACUUCUUGUGACAUGGACCUACGAGGAGGGUCCUCUCGCCACAGUAACAUUCUCGAUGAGAGGCCAUGUACUAAGCAUAUCAUGUCAAGAUACAGGGAUCAAGGCACAGACACAAAGAUUUAUGUGGGAGACCUACCCAAAGAUGCAUCUGAGAAAGAAAUAGAUCGCCACUUCAGUUAUUACGGUCGUUUACGAAAUGUAUGGGUGGCAAGAAAUCCCCCAGGUUUUGCUUUUGUUGAGUUUGAAGAUCCACGGGAUGCUGAGGAUGCAGUGAGAGCACUUGAUGGAACAACUGUCUGUGGCGCAAGAGUGCGUGUCGAACACUCCACUGGAAAAGUGCGCCCUAAACCAUGGCUGAGGGGCAGUGGAGGUAGCGGAGGUGGUGGUGGUGGCGGCGGCGGCGGUGGCGGCGGUGGGGGCGGUGGUGGUGGUGGUAGAGGCCCUCCACGUCCCCGGAAACAGUUCCACCCUGAAGACCGAUGCUAUGAGUGUGGAGACCGAGGACACUAUGCCUAUGACUGCUACAAGUAUAGCCGCAGAAGGUCAAAGAGAUCAAGACUUUCCCUUCUUCCACUUACGAUUCUGAUGAGAAUCAUCGCUCAUUCCACCAGACUAAGAUAUCAACCUUCAUCCCCGACUUCUAGACUUCACAUAUCUCUCACGUGAUCAGCCAUCGCUGAAAUUACGACCCCAUCCCCCCGUGGUGACUUCACUCAGAGAGAAACUCGAUCUGCAACAAUUUCAGCCCAAAAUUCGACCAUCUCCUUCAGUUCACCUGAGACAAGCGUCAAAUAGAUCUCGAAACAACAAGCACAAUCGAUGAUCAUCCUUCUAUCAUACACAGUAGAAUGGGUCAACACAUCAUUUCUGCUGCGUUCCAAUGAUUGAAUGAGAUGAUCGAUUGAACAUACACGACCAUUAUCUAGAAAUUCAUGACUGCUGUAAGCGUAAGUCUAAAACUGCCGAGAAUGAAUCUGAUAUUAAGAGAAAAUAUGGUUGCUUUCCAUACUGGCAAAGACUUUCAAUCACCCAAUGUUUUUGUUAUCAUGAAAUUGUGUUCAAAGUUUCACCUUUUGGCUAUUUUCCAUCAAAGAAUUAGUUAAAGUAAAACAUUUUAAAAUUAUUUUUUUUCUUAUUUUUGUCAGUUAAAUCUGGUGCUACAUGUAUUUUUGUAUUUCAGCUUACUUGUUUCUAUAAAAAGUACCUAAAAUAUUACAAAGUCCCAUAUAUUAUUUUUGGUAGAAUUAUUUUCAGGCGACCUUUGGUCUGUGGUAAGUGAAGGUAGGAGUAAACUUUUGAAUUAAAUUGCUUCCCCAGUUUUGUUUUUACACAUUACUAAUGUUCCAUUCAGAUAUUCUAAUAUGUAAUGUAUCCCAACAGGCCAUUUAGGUGUGUUUACUCUAUUGCAAUGUGUAAAGUGAGAGGCUGAUAUAAUUUCAGGUCUAGAUCGCAUUCUAGAUCAAGGAGUGUGUCUCGCAGCCGGAGCCGCAGCAGGAGCCGCAGCCGCAGUCGAGGUGGGAGAUAUUCCCGCAGUCGGAGCCACAGUCGGAGCAGGUCCCCACGCGACCGCUCCCGAUCUAGAUCACGCUCCCGUGACCAUGAAGAUGACCGAGAAUAAGAAGGAUAUACCGAGUGCUACAAAAUUGUCCUUCAAUGAGAACAACUACGUUGACUCUGUUCCAUCAUGUAUGUCAUUGCUACUGUCCUGUAACGGAAACUAGGUGUAAGUAAUCAACAUGUAGAUAAUGGAACAGCCUGUUCGUCAAUGCCAGAAAAGGUAUGGAAAAACAGUUCGAUCAGGAUUGCUGCAAAUGUGGACAACUUGUAGGAUGCUGAACAGUUUCUUGGUAUAUAUGACUCCUGUUACCGGAACAAAUGCUGAACAGAACAUUACACGUUGUUCUGUUGAAUUCCAACAGUUUGGAUUGAUGAUACUCCUGUAAUUGAAAAGUGUAUGUUGAACAGUUUGACUUACUUUUUAAUGUCUCAUCCCUGUCAUUGUCUUAAGUUCAUUGUCAUUUCUUUUGUCAUUUUAUGAGAGUUUCAUACAGUGUACCAUCUGAUGUAUUGAAUUCCAUUUAAUAAAGGUUCCUCUGUGUACUUA